GACGAACGCUGGCGGCGUGCUUAACACAUGCAAGUCGAACGGAAAGGCCCUGCUUUUGUGGGGUGCUCGAGUGGCGAACGGGUGAGUAACACGUGAGUAACCUGCCCUUUACUUUGGGAUAACUUCAGGAAACUGGGGCUAAUACCGGAUAUGAGCUCCUGCUGCAUGGUUGGGGUUGUAAAGUUUCGGCGGUUGGGGAUGGACUCGCGGCUUAUCAGCUUGUUGGUGGGGUAGUGGCUUACCAAGGCUUUGACGGGUAGCCGGACUGAGAGGGUGACCGGCCACAUUGGGACUGAGAUACGGCCCAGACUCCUACGGGAGGCAGAAGUGGGGAAUAUUGCAAAAUGGGCGGAAGCCUGAUGCAGCAACGCCGCGUGCGGGAUGACGGCCUUAGGGUUGUAAACCGCUUUCGCCUGUGACGAAGAGUGAGUGACGGUAAUGGGUAAAGAAGCACCGGCUAACUACGUG
Molecule: ribosomal RNA, 468 nt
Filed under: uncultured bacterium
Lineage: Bacteria
Description: partial 16S ribosomal RNA
Rfam family: Bacterial small subunit ribosomal RNA
Source: RNAcentral